This 415-nucleotide ribosomal RNA is filed under the name uncultured prokaryote. RNAcentral describes it as "bacterial SSU rRNA". It matches the Rfam family "Bacterial small subunit ribosomal RNA", at positions 505 to 918 of the family's 1533-position model. The record is from RNAcentral.
GUGCCAGCAGCCGCGGUAAGACGGAGGAGGCAAGCGUUAUCCGGAAUUAUUGGGCGUAAAGGGUCCGCAGGUGGCAGUUCAAGUCUGCAGUCAAAGGUCGGGGCUCAACCCCGGAAAGGCUGUGGAAACUGAACAGCUAGAGUACGGUAGGGGCAGAGGGAAUUCCCAGUGUAGCGGUGAAAUGCGUAGAGAUUGGGAAGAACACCGGUGGCGAAAGCGCUCUGCUAGGCCGAAACUGACACGGAGGGACGAAAGUUAGGGGAGCGAAAGGGAUUAGAUACCCCUGUAGUCCUAGCUGUAAACGAUGGAGACUAGGUGUGGCCUGUAUCGACCCGGGCCGUGCCGGAGCUAACGCGUUAAGUCUCCCGCCUGGGGAGUACGGUCGCAAGGCUGAAACUUAAAGGAAUUGACGGGG